GCGGCAAUAGCUCAGUUGGUAGAGCGCAACCUUGCCAAGGUUGAGGUCGCGGGUCCGAGUCCCGUUUGCCGCUCAA
Molecule: transfer RNA, 76 nt
Filed under: Prevotella sp. CAG:1124
Lineage: Bacteria; Pseudomonadati; Bacteroidota; Bacteroidia; Bacteroidales; Prevotellaceae
Description: transfer RNA-Gly(GCC)
Rfam family: tRNA
About the family: Transfer RNA (tRNA) molecules are approximately 80 nucleotides in length.
Source: RNAcentral